UGGAUUUGUGGACUAGACGUUACGGAGUCAGUUUGGACAUAAUUCUGGGUCAGAUUGCAACCGUCCAAUCUUUCGUCGACGAUAUAGUGACCCAUUACGGGAAAGUUGCCAUGUGUGUAAAAAAGAAGAAGAAGAAAAAAAAAAGGAUAAAAUGCCACUUCCGAGAAUAUAGUACCGGGUCAGCUACGACGACAAAACCUUGCACCAAACAGCCUAGGCCUAGUUGUGAAGCCAGAGCUCGUUCUCCUGAAAUCGAUAUAUCUGUUGAGGCGAAUAGCAAGGGAUUCCAGAUUACAGAACAACGAUACGAGAAGAAAGAUAAGGAAUUAUCACGCGCACACACAGUCAUAGAAGAGGAAACACAAAUGACUGAGAUGGAAAUAACUCUGCCCUUGGGAUGACUGAAGAAACGCAAGGUUGCAUCAAGGUUGAGUCUCCAGGGUUUUAGAAGGU
Molecule: long non-coding RNA, 453 nt
Organism: Macrobrachium nipponense
Lineage: Eukaryota; Metazoa; Arthropoda; Malacostraca; Decapoda; Palaemonidae
Exons: 3
Source: RefSeq, a predicted model, not a curated record